This is a long non-coding RNA of Xiphophorus couchianus (Monterrey platyfish), 599 nucleotides long. RefSeq lists it as uncharacterized. The transcript has 3 exons. NCBI's taxonomy places the organism in Eukaryota, Metazoa, Chordata, Actinopteri, Cyprinodontiformes, Poeciliidae. The record is from RefSeq and is a predicted model, not a curated record.
GUCAGGUGUGAGAACUGGAGACAAAGGUGCCACAGUGAGCUUGGAGGCAUGAAGUUGUCAUGCACUGAACUAUAAAUGGAAUAGGCCAGGUGACCCUUUUUAGGGUUUAAGGAUGGCGAGCUUCUGACACCUGGAUGGGAUCCAGGAGAACCUGAAAUUUACUCCAUAUUGGUCUGGUAGAAGACUGACGGUCUAUAUUUCCCCCUCCAUCUCACCAUACUGACACACAAGCCAUUAUUCACCUCUUCUCCAUUCGAAACAAACUGUGCUUGGGCAUUUUCCCCUCAAAUAUAUGGACAAUCAAACUAUGGACCUUUCAAAUGUGUGUCAGUCAGACACUGUGCUGACCCGUGGGGACAUUUAGCACUUUUGUUGCAUAGUUGAAAAUAUUGUGCACAUUCGUAUGGAAGAUUUACUGCAGUGCUAUGUAUAUGUAUUUUGUAUUUAUUUUUUGGGUUCUAUGUUUGUUUGUGUCUUGUAGUGUUCACUUUAAUUUUUCUUCUUUUAAAAUACACGGCAUUGAAAGCAGUUCCUCUUUUAUGUUGUUUUUAUUGUUACUGACAACCGCUUCAGUAGAUUCGUCUAGUCUUCUGAUAUGA